GUGGCUAAGAGUUAGGAGGCUAAAGCGACAGGAGCAGAUAACGGGUCCAAUGACCGAUCCCAACAAGCUAAGAGUCAAGGCUACUCAAGUGAAGCAGUAGAAGUGGACAAGGAACAAAAAAAUCUACUCACAGCUGGAGAAAAUUUGUGUCAAGAUGAAUCAUGUUUUGAAUCUUCUCUCAUGUCAGAUUUAGAUAACUGUUUGGACUAUGGACCUCUUAGUUGAUGCUGGAAAGUGUUAAGAUUUUGGGGACUAUUAAGGUGAAAUAAAUGUAUUUUGCAUGUGAGAAAGACAUUAAUUUUGGGGGCUGUGGUGGAGAGCUAUGGCUUGAAUGUGUCCCCUAAGAAGCAUGUGUUGGAAACUUAAUCCCCAGUGCAACAGUGUUGGAAAGUUGGGCGUAAGAAAAGAUGUUUAUGUCAUAAGGGCUCCACCCACAUGAAUGCAUUAUUACUGAUUGUUAAAAGGCUUGAGGCUGCAAGUUUGAUCUCUCUCAUACACAAGCAUAUGUGGUUUCUUGCUCUUCUGUCUUUCACCAUGGGAUGGCUCAGUGAGAAGACUCUAACCAGAUGUAGGCCCCCUUGACUUUGAACUUCUCAGCCUCUCGAGCUGUAAGAAAUAAAUCACUGCUUUUUAAAUAAAUUAUCCAGUUUCAGAUAUUCUUUUGUAGCAGCAAAAAAUGGACUAUGACAUGGAGCUUUAAGAGACAUCUGAUAAAAAUAAAAUUUAAGUGAAAACGUGGGCAGAUAGGAUGAGAACCUGUCCCAUGAAAAAACCCUGUGUAGUCACUAGGUGAGAGAAGAAAUUCAGAACACCAUGUCUUCACUCUAUAUGUGUACAUCCUAGAGAUGAAGAAUUAUAGAUUAAAAAACCAAAAUUACUAUUUAAUUAUUUUGUAUAACAAAAUGAGACACUACCAUCACUUUUUGAGACACUUAUAUCUAUGUCAACCAAAAAGCAAAUCCCAAUUUUUCCUCCCCAUACAACAGACCAUCACAUAAACUCCGCCCUGUGAGGGCCCAGGCCAUCUAAUUACAGCAUUGCAGCUAUCACAACUAAGCCAAGUAUCUCAGGAGAAAAAAAGCUACCUGUUUCUAGCCACACAAUUAAGCCAUGUAAACACAUGUCAUACUUUGUGUCAAAGCAGUGAUAGUAUCAGUUACUUAGAGAUGAAUAACUGGUGCUUGGGACUGGAGCAGCCUUGAGACAAGAAUAUCACUCAUCAGUCCCAAAGAAAUGGCAGAGGAGGAACCAUGGCUGGAAAAGCAGACGCUAUAGUGGAAGACAACCUUUUAGGCUUCCUCAAAAGCCUGGAGUUGGGGUAUCUUGCUGGUAAUUGAAAUUCCUAUGUAAAAUGUUGGAAUAAAGAAUAAAGUUAAUUUGGGUGUGUUCUAUUUUUUCCACAUAAACUUGCAAGUUAGACCCACAGUUUUUGCUUAUGUAUCAAUGUUAUAAUAUGCUACUUUAACACUAGUGCUAGUUUAUUAAUCCUAUGAGUUCAACUGUGUAAUUUUCAUUUUUUUGCUGUGUUUUGUAGGAUUUUAUGUAGUUUAA
RNAcentral lists this long non-coding RNA (1551 nucleotides) under Homo sapiens (human). Its description in RNAcentral is "HSALNT0403378". The record is from RNAcentral. Lineage: Eukaryota; Metazoa; Chordata; Mammalia; Primates; Hominidae.